RNAcentral lists this ribosomal RNA (1018 nucleotides) under uncultured bacterium. Its description in RNAcentral is "bacterial SSU rRNA". It matches the Rfam family "Bacterial small subunit ribosomal RNA", at positions 355 to 1375 of the family's 1533-position model. The record is from RNAcentral.
UAGGGAAUUUUCGUCAAUGGGGGGAACCCUGAACGAGCAAUGCCGCGUGAGUGAGGAAGGUCUUCGGAUCGUAAAGCUCUGUUGUAAGAGAAAAACGGCACUCAUAGGGAAUGAUGAGUGAGUGAUGGUAUCUUACCAGAAAGUCACGGCUAACUACGUGCCAGCAGCCGCGGUAAUACGUAGGUGGCGAGCGUUAUCCGGAAUGAUUGGGCGUAAAGGGUGCGUAGGUGGCAGAUCAAGUCUGGAGUAAAAGGUAUGGGCUCAACCCGUACUGGCUCUGGAAACUGAUCAGCUAGAGAACAGAAGAGGACGGCGGAACUCCAUGUGUAGCGGUAAAAUGCGUAGAUAUAUGGAAGAACACCGGUGGCGAAGGCGGCCGUCUGGUCUGGAUUCUGACACUGAAGCACGAAAGCGUGGGGAGCAAAUAGGAUUAGAUACCCUAGUAGUCCACGCCGUAAACGAUGAGAACUAGGCGUUGGGGGAAUAACUCAGUGCCGCAGUUAACGCAGUAAGUUCUCCGCCUGGGGAGUAUGCACGCAAGUGUGAAACUCAAAGGAAUUGACGGGGGCCCGCACAAGCGGUGGAGUAUGUGGUUUAAUUCGAAGCAACGCGAAGAACCUUACCAGGCCUUGACAUCCCUUGCAGAGGUAUAGAGAUAUAUCCGAGGUUAUCAAGGAGACAGGUGGUGCAUGGUUGUCGUCAGCUCGUGUCGUGAGAUGUUGGGUUAAGUCCCGCAACGAGCGCAACCCUUGUGAUAUGUUACUAACAUUGAGUUGAGGACUCAUAUCAGACUGCCGGUGAUAAACCGGAGGAAGGUGGGGAUGACGUCAAAUCAUCAUGCCCCUUAUGGCCUGGGCUACACACGUACUACAAUGGCGUCUACAAAGAGCGGCAAGCCUGUGAAGGCAAGCGAAUCUCAUAAAGGACGUCUCAGUUCGGAUUGAAGUCUGCAACCCGACUUCAUGAAGCUGGAAUCGCUAGUAAUCGCGAAUCAGCAUGUCGCGGUGAAUACGUUCUC